This 292-nucleotide ribosomal RNA is filed under the name uncultured bacterium. Its description in RNAcentral is "partial 16S ribosomal RNA". It matches the Rfam family "Bacterial small subunit ribosomal RNA", at positions 505 to 796 of the family's 1533-position model. The record is from RNAcentral.
GUGCCAGCAGCCGCGGUAAUACGUAGGAUGCGAGCGUUGUCCGGAUUUACUGGGUGUAAAGGGAGCGCAGGCGGAUUGGUAAGUCGGUGGUGAAAUCCUCAGGCUCAACCUGGGAACUGCCACCGAAACUGCUAAUCUUGAGUGUGGAAGAGGUCGAUGGAAUUCCUGGUGUAGCAGUGAAAUGCGUAGAUAUCAGGAAGAACACCGAUGGCGAAGGCAGUCGACUGGUCCAUUACUGACGCUCAUGCUCGAAAGCGUGGGGAUCAAACAGGAUUAGAAACCCCGGUAGUCC